AGCACAAGAGUUCUGAGUUGCAGUGAGCUAAAUUGAUCUAAUAUCUUCACUAAGUUCAGCAUUGAAGUGGGGAGCCUAUUGGGAAAGAAGGGAAGAAGGUAGAGGGGACCACCAGGUGGCCUAAGGAGAGGUGAACAGACCCAGGUUAGAUAAAAAGUUGGUCAGAACUCCCAAGGUCACUAGAGUGGGAUUGUCUCAUGAUUCGUCCUAGAACUUUGAGCCUGGGUAAGUUAGAGAGAUCCAGUCAAUGAAUCAGUAAACACAUUAACAAAACACAUAAAAGCUUUACACAGAAUUUUAGCUUUGGAAAAGUCAUCUAAUCCAAAAUUGAAUCCAAACAGGAAUCCCCUUUGUAGCAUCUCUUAUUUAUCUAGUGGUUGCUGGAAAAUCUUUGGUGGAUGGAGAAACCAUUAAGCCUUCCAUGACAAAUCAUCCCCCUUUAGACUAGUCUAACUGCUAGAAUAUCUUAAGCUGAAGUGCUAAUAGAACAAUCAAGUAAGAAUCAUCGAACUGGAAUUAAUUAGUCAGAGAUAAGUUCUGGAAUUUAAGAGACAAGUAAAGACUGAUAUAAUUUGGGGAGUGACCUCCCUUGUAGUAAUAGUGAAAGUCAAGGGGAUGAAUAACACUGAUGAGAAGGAGAUUAUAGAGAAAGAAUAAAGAAGAGAGUCAAGAAGUGAACUUUGGAAUGUACUACAGAGAGAUUGAGAAGAAUGUGAUUUCUCAGAAGCCAAUGAAAGAGAAAAUAUCAAGAUAAGGAAAAUGAGAUCUAAAGAGGUCACAUCACUUGGCCAGCAUCAUUCAGGCUGAUUACAAAUCAAUCAACCAAUCAAUGAAAGAACUAAACUAUCAAAAAGAUGUUUGUGGGAAAAGACAUAUGAAGCAUGGAGCUACCAUCUUGGAAGGGACAGAGAACUCUGUCAUCAUUGACCAUAAUAAAGAAAAGCACCUUCAAACCCUUUUGGCAUCUUUGUGGUAUGAUGGAAAAGGUCCUUGACUUGGAA
Molecule: long non-coding RNA, 1001 nt
Organism: Monodelphis domestica (gray short-tailed opossum)
Lineage: Eukaryota; Metazoa; Chordata; Mammalia; Didelphimorphia; Didelphidae
Source: RefSeq, a predicted model, not a curated record